AGUGAACGCUGGCGGUAGGCCUAACACAUGCAAGUCGAACGGCAGCACAGGAGAGCUUGCUCUCUGGGUGGCGAGUGGCGGACGGGUGAGGAAUACAUCGGAAUCUACUUUUUCGUGGGGGAUAACGUAGGGAAACUUACGCUAAUACCGCAUACGACCUACGGGUGAAAGCAGGGGACCUUCGGGCCUUGCGCGAUUGAAUGAGCCGAUGUCGGAUUAGCUAGUUGGCGGGGUAAAGGCCCACCAAGGCGAAGAUCCGUAGCUGGUGUGAGAGGAUGAUCGGCCACACUGGACCUGAGACUCGGGCAAGACUCCAACGGGAGGCAACAACGGGGAAUAUUGGACAAUGGGCGCAAGCCUGAUCCAGCCAUACCGCGUGGGUGAAGAAAGCCUUCGUGUUGUAAAGCCCUUUUGUUGGGAAAGAAAUCCAGCUGGCUAAUACCCGAUUGGGAUGACGGUACCCAAAGAAUAAGCACCGGCUAACUUCGUGCCAGCAGCCGCAGUAA
Molecule: ribosomal RNA, 506 nt
Filed under: uncultured bacterium
Lineage: Bacteria
Description: partial 16S ribosomal RNA
Rfam family: Bacterial small subunit ribosomal RNA
Source: RNAcentral